Molecule: ribosomal RNA, 468 nt
Filed under: uncultured bacterium
Lineage: Bacteria
Description: partial 16S ribosomal RNA
Rfam family: Bacterial small subunit ribosomal RNA
Source: RNAcentral
GACGAACGCUGGCGGCGUGCUUAACACAUGCAAGUCGAACGGAAAGGCCCUGCUUUUGUGGGGUGCUCGAGUGGCGAACGGGUGAGUAACACGUGAGUAACCUGCCCUUGACUUUGGGAUAACUUCAGGAAACUGGGGCUAAUACCGGAUAUGAGCUCCUGCUGCAUGGUGGGGGUUGGAAAGUUUCGGCGGUUGGGGCUGGACUCGCGGCUUAUCAGCUUGUUGGUGGGGUAGUGGCUUACCAAGGCUUUGACGGGUAGCCGGCCUGCGAGGGUGACCGGCCACAUUGGGACUGAGAUACGGCCCAGACUCCUACGGGAGGCAGCAGUGGGGAAUAUUGCACAAUGGGCGGAAGCCUGAUGCAGCAACGCCGCGUGCGGGAUGACGGCCUUCGGGUUGUAAACCGCUUUCGCCUGUGACGAAGCGUGAGUGACGGUAAUGGGUAAAGAAGCACCGGCUAACUACGUG